GAUUUUGGACAAUUGGCGCAAACCUGAUCCAGCCAUGCCGCGUGCAGGAUGAAGGCCUUCGGGUUGGAAACUGCUUUUGUACGGGAAGAAAAGGCUUGGGUUUAUACCCUGGGUACAUGACGGUUCCCUACGAAAAAGCACCGGCUAUCAUCCGGCCAUGCGCCGCGGUAAUACGUAGGGUGCAAGGGUUAGUCGGAAUUACUGGGCGUAAAGCGUGCGCAGGCGGUUUUGUAAGACAGUGGUGAAAUCCACGGGCUCAACCUGGGAACUGCCAUUGUGACUGCAAGGCUGGAGUGCGGCAGAGGGGGAUGGAAUUCCGCGUGUAGCAGUGAAAUGCGUAGAUAUGCGGAGGAACACCGAUGGCGAAGGCAAUCCCCUGGGCCUGCACUGACGCUCAUGCACGAAAGCGUGGGGAGCAAACAGG
RNAcentral lists this ribosomal RNA (424 nucleotides) under uncultured bacterium. RNAcentral describes it as "partial 16S ribosomal RNA". It matches the Rfam family "Bacterial small subunit ribosomal RNA", at positions 359 to 776 of the family's 1533-position model. The record is from RNAcentral.